This 256-nucleotide ribosomal RNA is filed under the name uncultured bacterium. RNAcentral's name for it is "partial 16S ribosomal RNA". It matches the Rfam family "Bacterial small subunit ribosomal RNA", at positions 524 to 776 of the family's 1533-position model. The record is from RNAcentral.
UACGUAGGAGGCGAGCGUUGUCCGGAGUUACUGGGCGUAAAGGGUGCGCAGGCGGCGGUUCGCGUGGAUAGGUGAAAUCUCCUGGCUUACCUGGGAGGAUGGUAUCCAGACGGGAUCGCUUGAGGGUCGGAGAGGGGCGUGGAAUUCCGGGUGGAGCGGUGAAAUGCGUAGAGAUCCGGAGGAACACCGACGGCGUAGGCAGCGCCCCUGGACGACACCUGACGCUGAGGCACGAAAGCUGGGGGGAGCGAACAGG